GUGCUCACCUCAGCAGCACAAACACUAAGACUAGAAUGAUACUGAGAAGAUCAGCACGGCCGCCAGGAAGGAUGAGCCCCAAAUCUGUGAAGCGUUCCACAUGUUU
This is a small nuclear RNA of Artibeus jamaicensis (Jamaican fruit-eating bat), 106 nucleotides long. The record is from RefSeq and is a predicted model, not a curated record. Lineage: Eukaryota; Metazoa; Chordata; Mammalia; Chiroptera; Phyllostomidae.